CUUUAGGCUCCAAGGCACAUAAUAUGGUGCAAUUAUCUACACACUGGUGAAGCUUUUCUAAAACAAAAGACAGAAUGUUCCUCUCCAAGCCCUUGUCUCCCAUCCAGCUAUACAUAGUUUCAGAGCAGCAGGCGCAGCGCUCAGGCGCUUGACAACGCAAACUGGGAAGGCUAACGAGUUCUAUGAAAUGGACACACCAUUUGUCUUAUCUAGUCUGAUAGAGCCUGCAAGCACUGCUAAACAAUUAAGGACUUGAAAUUAGACUACAGCAUUUGUUACAAAAAUAUAUCUAUAGUCUUUGAUGACUCCACUGAGCAAAAGUUGCGUCAAGCGAGGAAGAGAAUGCUGCCUUCACCUCUUGUGCCCAAAGAUUUGCCAGCUCUGCUUCUCCCAAGUUGGUAGGAAUGAACACACUUAUAGCAGCUUUAUAAAACUUGCGUGUGAAAUGGCUGAAGCAGCAAGACUGCCCUGGUAA
RNAcentral lists this long non-coding RNA (475 nucleotides) under Coturnix japonica (Japanese quail). RNAcentral describes it as "lncRNA (ENSCJPG00005007143.1)". The record is from RNAcentral. Lineage: Eukaryota; Metazoa; Chordata; Aves; Galliformes; Phasianidae.